This is a non-coding RNA of Monodelphis domestica (gray short-tailed opossum), 1995 nucleotides long. The record is from RefSeq and is a predicted model, not a curated record. NCBI's taxonomy places the organism in Eukaryota, Metazoa, Chordata, Mammalia, Didelphimorphia, Didelphidae.
CCUGUUUUAUUUCUACUAGAUUAUAAGUUCCUUGAUGGGGAGACUAUAGGCUUUUCAACUUUUCAGCCUGACAGCUUAGCCCAUAAGAGUCACCUAAUAAAUGUUCAUUGCAGUAACUAAUGAACAGGAAGGAACUGGGAAGACAGCUCGAGGAUAAGAACUAUAGUUAAUCAAUAAGCUUAACUGGUCACAGUCAUUCUUUUCAGAACCUACACAGCAAAUGAAUUGCUUCAUUUGGCUCUUCCUACGUUUUAGGGAAUUCGUUUAGGAAUUCGCAUUUAAACCAGGCAAAUUUUAAGCUAAAUCGGAACAAAGUACACUUUCAUAUCAUGUUGCUUCCUACUAUAAGAACAAAACACUAACUUCAAUUUUUUCUGAUCAACAUGAAUAACACAGAGUCGAAGCAUUUUCAAAACAAUCCAUAACAUGGCAACCAUCUCAGCAGGUGCUUGUGGGAUCCAGCUCAGGGAGCACUUGACUUGUAUUGAGCCCUUGGCUGAGUGACUCUGUUCUGAUCUUCUUGUACCGGUUUUGUUUCAGAAAGUAGAAAAGCCUAGUCAUAAUUUGGCUCAAAAUUAUAUAGUGGUAUGAUAUAGACUGGUUCCACACUUGUUUUGCUGCCACCUUUGUAGCAGCACAAUUUAAAAAAAAAAAAUUUCAUCAAAGAAAAGCCUUUCAUUUUAGGCACAAACACUUAGAUUGUCUCAUAUGGGCACACUCUCUUUUCUCGGGGCAUUUAGAGUCAUCUUGUGAAGAUUCUCCUCACAAUAGGCCUGGCAAAGAAUUCUGAAAUUAGCCUGCUGUCAUGACAACCUCAGGAGCUUCCCAGGCGGCAGCUCCAGAGAACAGGACACAAGGCUGGGGAAAGAAAUGACUUCAUCUGCAAAUCCAGAAGACUAUUUCCCAAGAGGAAACUAUAACUAUUGGCCUCGAAGCUCCUCCAUCUGAACGUACCGCAGUUGCUUUCUCCAUCACUGAGGUAGCGCUGGAUCAAGUUUUCCAUCCACAACUGGUAGCAGAUGCAGCUCUUCGUAAUGGGAUCACAGUGGCCAUGGCCAGAACAUUCCAAAUGGCAAACUGCAGGCAGAAUGGGAGAAAUAGAUCUUGAGUCCCUCAAGGGCAAAAAGUCUUCUAUUUUACUGCUGUUGCACCCUGCUACAGUGACCCUUAAAUACAUACUCAUUUGAUAUGUUUCUAGCAUGGCCUGUGAUGCUGAAAGUAUGCCCUUAACUCGACUAUUUCAACCGAGAAUAAUCAACUAACAAAUAUGUCUAUUAAGCACCUAUCAUGUGCAAGGCACUCUGCUAGGUGCUGCGUAUACAAUGCCAAAAACGGAAAAAUCUCUGCCUUCAUGGAGCUUAUAUUUUACCAAACAACAGAGAAAGGGUGUUAAACAUUACCACUGAAAAAGCUCACACAUGGGUUUACGUCAGAAAAAAAUGGAAUCGUAUGAUUAAAAGUCAUAUUAUUGUGUCCUGUUGCUCUCCCAGUACCAAGUGCUAUCUUCUCAUACUAUGUACUACAUUCAAAGAACAAGGUGAUCCUAGGAAUGUUACUUGUCUUGGAGGUUGGUUAAGACAUCUACUGAUGAGACAAAUACCAAUAUAGCUAGAAAUGCAUGCACCAGUAGAAGGCAAGUUCCUUGAAGGCAAGGAUAGUUUCAUUUUUGUUAUUGUUUCCUUUACACAGUGCCUACAAACAUAAUUAGUACUUAUAUAAAUAUUUGCUGAAUUGAAUUAAAUUAAAUCUCAGUCCAUUUUGUGCCUAGAAAGCAGUCACAUGAGAGCACCUAUGAUUUGUUUUAAAUGCAAGUAAGAAUCACGCAGAGACUUCUAGAUUCUAUAAGACCUUUAACUGUGAACUACUACAAUGCUCUUGGUUCUAAUGGCAUAAAGUACAGUUGACAUAAAAACACAUUAUCUUAUUUCCUGACAGCUGUGUUUAUUUGUAUCUGCCACUAUCCCUCCUAAUCAAAAAUAAAACUAAUGAUGAUAA